Long non-coding RNA from Formica exsecta, 1188 nucleotides. RefSeq lists it as uncharacterized. The transcript has 5 exons. The record is from RefSeq and is a predicted model, not a curated record. NCBI's taxonomy places the organism in Eukaryota, Metazoa, Arthropoda, Insecta, Hymenoptera, Formicidae.
UAAUAUUACAUUUUGUUUACAGAAGAAUAAAUGGUCUGUUACAAAAUAUUUUGAAAUGCGUGCAGCAUUUGAAGAGCGACAACCGCCGUCGUGCACCGACUAAACCGGCCAUCCUUCCUAUAUCUUCUCUGGAAGACAUGGAUAUUUUCGAAGAUAUCGAUGAUGAUGGUUAUUCCGAAAUUGUGCAUUACUUUGAGUACAUCGGUGGGUUCACGUUAAAGGAAGCCGUCAAUUUGUGUCUAAAGUAGGCGUUGACAGAUUCUUUAACGCCAUCGUUUACCUGGUGGGGUCGUGAAGGAGGUCCACGAUCUUUAUACAAUACUCGCCUUAUUUUGGCAAUUUACGAUGCUGUGUGCAGUAAUCGUUACAUAAACAAUCCGACUCGAUCGGAGUUUCAAGCACAAAUGCGUGAAGCCUUGCGAACAGCUAAAGAGAGAUGGAGGAGCAGAGCGCGCGGUCCACGGUCUACUCAUCCUGUCAAUCCAAGACCACGCGAUUUUUGGAGCGACGAGCGACAAGAAGAAAACAGGAGAAUAAGAGAUAAUUAAAUUUGAUUACUUUCAGGAGAGGCGAAUCCACGGAUGGAUUGCGUAAGUGAUAGUGGCUGUAUUUGUUUUGACGCUACAAUCACUAAGGUCUGGUUUCACAACUUACUUUAAUCGAAGUUUAAUUCAUUAAUGGAGAAUUCACAUUACAUCUGAUGUCCGAUGUAUUCAAUCGGACGUUGUACAUCGGACGCAAUGUGAAUUUUCCAUUAACGAGUUCAACUCCGGUUAAAGUAAAUUGAGAAACCGGACCUAAAAGCGUUUGAUUGAUCAAUCGGAACAAAGAUUUCUCCGUUCUAAUUAGUCAAUCAAAGGCUUUCAGCACUUUUAGCGCCAAGACGAAAGCGGUCGGUGGACAUCACUAGCGAAGAAACCAAACGGCACUUUUCAGUACCCAUUUUAAAAAUAUUAAAGCUUCUCGGAACUUCCUCGCUUCGCAAACGGUUUUCGAGGCAACCUGGAGUACUUACGGAGAAGAAGGAGGAGAAGGCAACGAAGAAUCUCUACGGAGCAGGCAACAAAGAAGAUUCUAAAUUUAAAAUAUAUAAAUUUUAAACUUAAAAACAGUUGUGUUGGAUAAAUAUUAUUUUAAUUAUUAAAUAAUUUAAAAACUUUAAAAAGUGGUGAAUGUUAUGUUAUAAUU